UACGUAGGGGGCAAGCGUUGUCCGGAUUUAUUGGGCGUAAAGAGCUCGUAGGCGGUUCCGUAAGUCGUGAAGUCAAAUCUCUGGGCUCAACCCAGAAUCGCUUCCGAUACUGCGGUGACUGGAGUCCGGUAGGGGAGUGUGGAAUUCCUGGUGUAGCGGUGAAAUGCGCAGAUAUCAGGAGGAAUACCGGUGGCGAAGGCGGCUCUCUGGACCAAUAUUGACGCUGAGAAACGAAAGUGCGGGGAUCAAACAGG
This 254-nucleotide ribosomal RNA is filed under the name uncultured bacterium. RNAcentral describes it as "partial 16S ribosomal RNA". It matches the Rfam family "Bacterial small subunit ribosomal RNA", at positions 524 to 776 of the family's 1533-position model. The record is from RNAcentral.